AGACGAACCGUGCGAACGUUGUUCGGAAUCACUGGGCUUAAAGGGCGCGUAGGCGGGUCACCAAGUCCGGGGUGAAAUCUUUCGGCUUAACCGGAAAACAGCCUUGGAUACUGGUGACCUCGAGGGAGGUAGGGGUCUGUGGAACUUCUGGUGGAGCGGUGAAAUGCGUUGAUAUCAGAAGGAACGCCGGUGGCGAAAGCGACGGACUGGACCUCCACUGACGCUGAGGCGCGAAAGCUAGGGGAGCAAACA
Molecule: ribosomal RNA, 252 nt
Filed under: uncultured prokaryote
Description: partial 16S ribosomal RNA
Rfam family: Bacterial small subunit ribosomal RNA
Source: RNAcentral